Molecule: ribosomal RNA, 514 nt
Filed under: Elthusa sp. 3_Cy140343
Lineage: Eukaryota; Metazoa; Arthropoda; Malacostraca; Isopoda; Cymothoidae
Description: partial 16S ribosomal RNA
Rfam family: Bacterial large subunit ribosomal RNA
Source: RNAcentral
CGCCUGUUUAACAAAAACAUUUCUUUUUAUAAUUAGGAAAAGUAGGCCCUGUUCAAUGAGGGUUAAAUAACCGCAAUAUUUAAUUGUGCGAAGGUAGCAUAAUAAUUUUUUCUUUAAUUGAGAGGUUGGAUGAAAGGGUUAACAAAGUGUUAACUGUGUUGAUGUGUGAUUGGAAUUUUAUGGGAAGGUGAAAAUGCCUUUUAGAGUUAAAGGGACGACAAGACCCUAUGAAACUUUGAAAUUAGCUAUGAUAAAUGGGUAAUUUAUUUAACUGGGGUGGUUGAUAAUUUGUAAACAUUAUAGUUUAAUACAUUUUGUAUGGAGUGUGUAUGAUCUUAGGUUAGAUAAGAGAUAAGUUACUCUAGGGAUAACAGCGUAAUUGGGUUUAAGAGUUCUUAUUGAAGAUCUAGUUGCGACCUCGAUGUUGAAUUAAGUAUAACUACCCGGAGCAGAAGAUGGGUUUAGUGAGUUUGUUCAACUUUUAAUUACUUACAUGAUCUGAGUUCAGACCGGA